This 380-nucleotide ribosomal RNA is filed under the name uncultured eukaryote. Its description in RNAcentral is "partial 18S ribosomal RNA". It matches the Rfam family "Eukaryotic small subunit ribosomal RNA", at positions 592 to 976 of the family's 1831-position model. The record is from RNAcentral.
CAAUAGCGUAUAUUAAAGUUGUUGCAGUUAGAACGCUCGUAGUCGGAUUUCGGGGCGUUCCGACCGGUCUGCCGAUGGGUAUGCACUGGCCGGAGUGUCCUUUUUGCCGGAGACCGUGCCUACUCUUAACUGAGCGGGGGCGGGAGACGGCACUUUUACUUUGGAAAAAUCAGAGUGUUUCAAGCAGGCAGCUCGCUCUUGCAUGGAUUAGCAUGGGAUAAUGAAAUAGGACUUUGGUGCUAUUUUGUUGGUUUCGAACACCGAAGUAAUGAUGAGAAGGGACAGUCAGGGGCACUCGUAUUCCGCAGAGAGAGGUGAAAUUCUCAGACCCGCGGAAGACGAACCACUGCGAAAGCAUUUGCCAGGGAUGUUUUCACUGA